UACGUAGGAGGCAAGCGUUGUCCGGAAUUACUGGGCGUAAAGCGCGUGUAGGUGGUGGGACAAGUCUGCUGUGAAAGCGCCUGGCUUAACCGGGCGAGGUCGGCGGAAACUGUCCGACUAGAGGACGGUAGAGGGGGGUGGAAUUCCCGGUGUAGUGGUGAAAUGCGUAGAGAUCGGGAGGAACACCUGUGGCGAAGGCGGCCCCCUGGGCCGGCCCUGACACUGAGACGCGAAGGCGUGGGGAGCGAACAGG
Molecule: ribosomal RNA, 253 nt
Filed under: uncultured bacterium
Lineage: Bacteria
Description: partial 16S ribosomal RNA
Rfam family: Bacterial small subunit ribosomal RNA
Source: RNAcentral